Molecule: ribosomal RNA, 496 nt
Filed under: uncultured bacterium
Lineage: Bacteria
Description: partial 16S ribosomal RNA
Rfam family: Bacterial small subunit ribosomal RNA
Source: RNAcentral
GAUGAACGCUGGCGGCGUGCCUAAUACAUGCAAGUCGAGCGAACAGACGAGGAGCUUGCUCCUCUGACGUUAGCGGCGGACGGGUGAGUAACACGUGGAUAACCUACCUAUAAGACUGGGAUAACUUCGGGAAACCGGAGCUAAUACCGGAUAAUAUAUUGAACCGCAUGGUUCAAUAGUGAAAGACGGUUUUGCUGUCACUUAUAGAUGGAUCCGCGCCGCAUUAGCUAGUUGGUAAGGUAACGGCUUACCAAGGCAACGAUGCGUAGCCGACCUGAGAGGGUGAUCGGCCACACUGGACCUGAGACCCGGUCCAGGCUCCUACGGGGGGCAGCAGUAGGGAAUCUUCCGCAAUGGGCGAAAGCCUGACGGAGCAACGCCGCGUGAGUGAUGAAGGUCUUCGGAUCGUAAAACUCUGUUAUUAGGGAAGAACAAAUGUGUAAGUAACUAUGCACGUCUUGACGGUACCUAAUCAGAAAGCCACGGCGAACUACGU